RNAcentral lists this transfer RNA (68 nucleotides) under Mops plicatus (wrinkle-lipped free-tailed bat). RNAcentral's name for it is "tRNA-His". It matches the Rfam family "tRNA". Rfam says of the family: Transfer RNA (tRNA) molecules are approximately 80 nucleotides in length. Their secondary structure includes four short double-helical elements and three loops (D, anti-codon, and T loops). The record is from RNAcentral. Lineage: Eukaryota; Metazoa; Chordata; Mammalia; Chiroptera; Molossidae.
GUAAAUAUAGUUUAACAAAAACAUUAGAUUGUGAAUCUAACAAUAGAGGCUAAAAUCUCUUAUUUACC